ACUCCUACGGGAGGCAGCAGUCGAGAAUCUUCCCCAAUGGACGAAAGUCUGAGGGAGCGACGCCGCGUGAGGGAUGAAGGCCCUUUGGUUUGUAAACCUCUGUUAGGGGGAAAGAACAGCAGUGGAAGCAACAUGUCCAUUGCCUGACGUUACCCCCAGAGAAAGCUCGGGCCAACUCCGUGCCAGCAGCCGCGGUAAUACGGGGGGAGCAAGCGUUGUCCGGAAUCAUUGGGCGUAAAGGGCGUGUAGGCGGUUAGGCAAGUCGAAUGUGAAAUCCCACGGCUCAACCGUGGAACUGCGUUCGAAACUGCCCUACUUGAGUGCGGGAGAGGUGUGCGGAAUUCCUGGUGUAGCGGUGGAAUGCGUAGAUAUCAGGAAGAACACCGGUGGCGAAGGCGGCACACUGGCCCAGCACUGACGCUGAGGCGCGAAAGCGUGGGGAGCGAACGGGAUUAGAUACCCCGGUAGUCCACGCUGUAAACUUUGGGCACUAGGUAUUGGAGGUCUCAACCCCUUCAGUGCCGUAGCUAACGCGUUAAGUGCCCCGCCUGGGGAGUACGGUCGCAAGGCUGAAACUCAAAUGAAUUGACGG
Molecule: ribosomal RNA, 592 nt
Filed under: uncultured bacterium
Lineage: Bacteria
Description: bacterial SSU rRNA
Rfam family: Bacterial small subunit ribosomal RNA
Source: RNAcentral